RNAcentral lists this ribosomal RNA (311 nucleotides) under Providencia rettgeri. Its description in RNAcentral is "partial 23S ribosomal RNA". It matches the Rfam family "Bacterial large subunit ribosomal RNA", at positions 351 to 667 of the family's 2925-position model. Lineage: Bacteria; Pseudomonadati; Pseudomonadota; Gammaproteobacteria; Enterobacterales; Morganellaceae. The record is from RNAcentral.
CCGGCAGUAAAGGGUGAUAGCCCCGUAUCCGAAGGUGUUAGUGUUGUGAACUCGACGAGUAGGGCGGGACACGUGUUAUCCUGUCUGAAUAUGGGGGGACCAUCCUCCAAGGCUAAAUACUCCUGAUUGACCGAUAGUGAACCAGUACCGUGAGGGAAAGGCGAAAAGAACCCCGGCGAGGGGAGUGAAAUAGAACCUGAAACCGUGUACGUACAAGCAGUGGGAGCCCCACCACCAAAGCAUUUUCUGGUGUUGAGGACAACUUUGAAGUGACAUUCAACACGCGUUGGCGGAGCGUUUUUUGCGACGCC